RNAcentral lists this ribosomal RNA (253 nucleotides) under uncultured bacterium. Its description in RNAcentral is "partial 16S ribosomal RNA". It matches the Rfam family "Bacterial small subunit ribosomal RNA", at positions 524 to 776 of the family's 1533-position model. The record is from RNAcentral.
UACGUAGGUCCCGAGCGUUGUCCGGAUUUAUUGGGCGUAAAGCGAGCGCAGGUGGAUUGUUAAGUCAGUUGUGAAAGUUUGCGGCUCAACCGUAAAAUUGCAGUUGAAACUGGCAGUCUUGAGUACAGUAGAGGUGGGCGGAAUUCGUGGUGUAGCGGUGAAAUGCUUAGAUAUCACGAAGAACUCCGAUUGCGAAGGCAGCUCACUGGACUGCAACUGACACUGAGGCUCGAAAGUGUGGGUAUCAAACAGG